GAAAUCAAGAAUUCGGUUGAACACUACCCUUCUAUAAUAUGUUUUUGCAAAAGGAACUACCUACGUCAGACAGUGAAUAAAUUAAACUACUAAUAAUAAUGUUCCAUAUAGCUGUGAUCACAUGUUGUUCAAGUUGCGACUUCCUCUCAACAGCUAAUUGCUUUCCACAUGGCUGGCAGAACACUACCUUGCCAUCCGCUGUAAAAAUUUCGCACUCUUCAUUAUACGUGGCAAUCCAAUUCCGAAGGGUACUCGAUUGCUACCAUCCUUCCACAUUCUCCCGGUUUAAAUCUUCCAAUCGAGUUUUAACUUUAGAAUCGUUAAUCACUUCAUUCACGUUUUUUUACUCGUGCUGUUUAUCGUAAUCU
Molecule: long non-coding RNA, 368 nt
Filed under: Androctonus crassicauda
Lineage: Eukaryota; Metazoa; Arthropoda; Arachnida; Scorpiones; Buthidae
Source: RNAcentral